This 1533-nucleotide long non-coding RNA is filed under the name Mytilus galloprovincialis (Mediterranean mussel). Lineage: Eukaryota; Metazoa; Mollusca; Bivalvia; Mytilida; Mytilidae. The record is from RNAcentral.
AGGGGCUAUAAGGGGCAAAAUUGGCCUCAAUUUCGAGAAUUUUUCAAAUUCUACUUAUUCGUAUGUGUAUGGCUUUCUUUUUCCGUUACACAUAUUCAUUUUAUGAAAAAAAUGUUUUUUUGUAGUUAUGACGUCAUAAUGCCGUGUUUUGACAACACUUCACGUGCAUAUUUGUUGGCUUUUCACAAUUUUUUACUCAUUUUCACUAACUUUUUUUACGAAAAAAGUACCAGCGCAUUCUUGCCCCAACGAAAUAUUUUAUCAGAGCAAUAAUAUCAACAUAAAGCAUCUUAUGUUGAAAUAUUUCAGUGGGGCAAAGCUGCGCUCAUACUGAAUUUUAAUUAAAAACUUGCUCAAAACCGGCAUCAAAGUUCCAAAAUUUUUCGUCCGUUUUUCAUAUAUACCGUUAUCGGACUAAGGUUGACCAGGAACAGUUGUAUUUUUUAACAUAUUAUUAGUCAAUGGUUGAUAAUAAAACAGUUUCAUUAUAGAAAGUAAAUUAUAAAGUGUUUUUCUUCAUAUUAAAGUACAUAACAUAGCCUCUCAAGUACAGCCUAGCCCUUGUCGUCUUAUAUUUAUUGUAAGUGAUUACGGAACUGACACACGGAAUUUUACUUGUUUCUGUUGUUAAGAAGCUUUUUAUAGCGGAAUAGAAAUCAGUGUAUCAUUCGUUAAAUACUUGAUAUAAACAGACAGAAUUAAAAAAACUUUCAAUAUUAUAACUUAACACGUAAAAAAUUCCACAGCACAGCACAGCAGGGGAGUGUUUUUUUUUUGUUCUUUGGUUGUGAGCCAGAAGAGGUCCAUUUCUGUUGUUUUUUUGUUUUUUUUUUUUUUGCAUUGGGAAGAUCUUCUGGCUCUCUUCUACCUCUUCCCUUGAAAUAGGUGGUUUAGACGGCAGAGGCACAAAACAAAAAUGGCGUUGUUUUGUCGAAAUGGCAAUAAUAAAUAGAGAGCCUCCCCGUGCUUAAGGUUUAUGCUCUUAUAUUAUACUAGAUUAUGAGCCUUCGGCUGUUGUCUGCUCUAUGGUCGGGUUGUUAUCGCUUUGACACAUUCCCCAUUUCCUUUCUCAAUGUUAUUAUGAAUGUAGAUAUAUUAGAAUGUGAGCUGUGUUAUACAUGUUUUUAUGGUACGACAGCCUUAGUAGGACAUCUCUGUAGGAUGAUAAGCUAGAUGAAUAUAAGAACUACACGGACAAUAACAGUUAAGGGCCAACUAUUUAAUAUUCUAGGGAAGGAAUUUUAUUUAUUGUUGUUAAACUCUACUUUCAUCACUCAUGAUUUGGCUAGUGGUUAGUUUAAAUCAUUAGAUGAGGAAUGAAGAAGGAAAGAGGGUAUUAUUGAUCAUUUUAAUAUGUCGCUAAACAUGCCUAUUUUUCAACUCUUAGCAGGCAACCAUAUUCAUAUACGAAAUACUCCUGUCCCCACCCCAACCGAAGUUAUUAAAUAUCAGAUGGUUUUCUCUUAUUUAACACAACUUUAAAUUGAUGCUAAUUUUUAACGCACAGUGACACAUAUUUCAUGCAUAUUCAGG